GACGAACGCUGGCGGCGUGCUUAACACAUGCAAGUCGAACGGAAAGGCCCUGCUUUUGUGGGGUGCUCGAGUGGCGAACGGGUGAGUAACACGUGAGUAACCUGCCCUUGACUUUGGGAUAACUUCAGGAAACUGGGGCUAAUACCGGAUAGGAUCUCCUGCUGCAUGGUGGGGGUUGGAUAGUUUCGGCGGUUGGGGAUGGACUCGCGGCUUAUCAGCUUGUUGGUUGGGUAGUGGCUUACCAAGGCUUUGACGGGUAGCCUGCCUGAGAGGGUGACCGGACACACUAGGCUUGAGAUACGACACAGACUCGUAUGGGAGGCAGCGGUGGAGAGUAUAACACAGUGGGAGGGAGCAUGAUGCGACACCGCCGCGUGCGGGAAGACGUCCUGGGGGUAGUGUACCGCAGUCGCCUGUGACGAAGCGUUAGUGACGGUAAUGGGUGAAUAAGCACCGGCUAACUACGUG
This 468-nucleotide ribosomal RNA is filed under the name uncultured bacterium. RNAcentral's name for it is "partial 16S ribosomal RNA". It matches the Rfam family "Bacterial small subunit ribosomal RNA", at positions 28 to 507 of the family's 1533-position model. The record is from RNAcentral.